CCUACGGGUGGCAGCAGUCGAGAAUCAUUCACAAUGGGGGAAACCCUGAUGGUGCGACGCCGCGUGGGGGAAUGAAGGUCUUCGGAUUGUAAACCCCUGUCAUGUGGGAGCAAAUUAAAAAGAUAGUACCACAAGAGGAAGAGACGGCUAACUCUGUGCCAGCAGCCGCGGUAAUACAGAGGUCUCAAGCGUUGUUCGGAAUCACUGGGCGUAAAGCGUGCGUAGGCUGUUUCGUAAGUCGUGUGUGAAAGACGCGGGCUCAACCCGCGGACGGCACAUGAUACUGCGAGACUAGAGUAAGGGAGGGGGAACCGGAAUUCUCGGUGUAGCAGUGAAAUGCGUAGAUAUCGAGAGGAACACUCGUGGCGAAGGCGGGUUCCUGGACAUUAACUGACGCUGAGGCACGAAGGCCAGGGGAGCGAAAGGGAUUAGAUACCCCAGUAGUC
RNAcentral lists this ribosomal RNA (446 nucleotides) under uncultured bacterium. Its description in RNAcentral is "partial 16S ribosomal RNA". It matches the Rfam family "Bacterial small subunit ribosomal RNA", at positions 338 to 795 of the family's 1533-position model. The record is from RNAcentral.